Molecule: long non-coding RNA, 245 nt
Filed under: Brassica rapa (field mustard)
Lineage: Eukaryota; Viridiplantae; Streptophyta; Magnoliopsida; Brassicales; Brassicaceae
Description: long non-coding RNA (BRAP_LNC007466)
Source: RNAcentral
AGUAAGUCACAUGAACACGAACACGAUCAAUCAUUUGUCAAAAACCUGUAAGAUCAGAUCCCUGUUCACUAGUUACCCAUCUGCUUGGAUAGCAGAUUCACUUUCUCUUCUCCUCGUAAAACCUAUACGUAUCCUCAGUUCACUAGUCGCACUCUUCUUCUUCUUUCGUCAACACUCGCAAACGUCUCUCUUUUUACGUGGAGUCGCAAGACUGCUAAGUAACUCUCUCUUUUCUCUGCUUCAGC